AGCAGCCGCGGUAAUUCCAGCUCCAAUAGCGUAUAUUAAAGUUGUUGCAGUUAAAAAGCUCGUAGUUGAAUUUCGGGAUCAUCAGGUUGGUCGUGCCUCUGGUAUGUACUGAUUUCGAUGGUUCCUCCUUCUAAAGAACCGUAAUGCCAUUAAUUUGGUGUUACGGGGAAUUAGGACUGUUACCUUGAAAAAAUUAGAGUGUUUAAAGCAGGCUCACGCUUGAAUACAUUAGCAUGGAAUAAUGAAAUAGGACAUCCGAUUCUAUUUUGUUGGUUUCUAGGAUCGAUGUAAUGAUUAAUAGGGAUAGUUGGGGGCAUUAGUAUUCAAUUGUCAGAGGUGAAAUUCUUGGAUUUAU
This 355-nucleotide ribosomal RNA is filed under the name uncultured Glomeraceae. Its description in RNAcentral is "SSU rRNA". It matches the Rfam family "Eukaryotic small subunit ribosomal RNA", at positions 569 to 929 of the family's 1831-position model. Lineage: Eukaryota; Fungi; Glomeromycota; Glomeromycetes; Glomerales; Glomeraceae. The record is from RNAcentral.